UACAGAGGUCUCAAGCGUUGUUCGGAUUCAUUGGGCGUAAAGGGUGCGUAGGCGGUCGGGUAAGUCUGAUGUGAAAUCUCGGGGCCUAACCCCGAAACUGCAUUGGAUACUAUUCGGCUUGAGGAAUGGAGGGGAGACUGGAAUGCUCGGUGUAGCAGUGAAAUGCGUAGAUAUCGAGCGGAACACCAGUGGCGAAGGCGAGUCUCUGGACAUUUCCUGACGCUGAGGCACGAAAGCCAGGGGAGCAAACGGG
RNAcentral lists this ribosomal RNA (253 nucleotides) under uncultured bacterium. RNAcentral's name for it is "partial 16S ribosomal RNA". It matches the Rfam family "Bacterial small subunit ribosomal RNA", at positions 524 to 776 of the family's 1533-position model. The record is from RNAcentral.